Molecule: long non-coding RNA, 1184 nt
Organism: Brienomyrus brachyistius
Lineage: Eukaryota; Metazoa; Chordata; Actinopteri; Osteoglossiformes; Mormyridae
Exons: 2
Source: RefSeq, a predicted model, not a curated record
CCUACUGUUAUGUUAUGGUUUCUUUACUUGGCUCUCUUUUCCCUGUCAGUUUCUGAUCCCUCAUGGUCCCUUUAAUUUGUGCCUUUUCUCCUGUGUUUUCUGUUUAUUCAGUAGACUCUUGUUCGUCUCAGACCUGCAGGUGCACAGUCACCUUCUUCCCGCCUGCACCAUGCCCCGCUGUGACAAUGUGUGAAGAAAAAGCACGUGAUCACCUGUGAGAAUGACGAAGCGCUGCCACACGACUUCACCGCUCCUGUUUUUCAAGACACUCAGCUCCACUUCCCCUUCAUCACAGUUCAGAAAUACCUCAAAAGUUGGGUGGAUUGUUUGGUCAAAAUUGUAUUCAAACUCUUCAUUCUAGAGGUGAAGAGGGGAAAUUGCUGGUGAUGUUCUGAAUCCCAGUUAAAAGUGGGAACUGUUCCUCACAAAGAGCUGGGGUGGGAUUCACACCCCCAACCUGGGAGGUAUGAGCCACCCUGUGGGCUUUAAUUGCAACAUUUAAUUCACAGUAACUGCAAAUGCACUCACCCCUCUUAUGUCUUACAAAUGCAUGGAAGUUGGACCCAAUUGUGACACACAUGCCCAUAAAAGCAGACCUGAAUCCCUGUUAAUAAACAAGGCUAUACAGUUUAAAGCACAGAUAACUAUGGAUUCAAGCUGGUGCACUCAAACUUUAGAGUGGUACUGUAUGUCAGCUGGACAUUGGAUAUAUUAAUAUGUGUUCGUUGGUCGUGGUUUGGGUCGUCACCUCUGGCUGGAUCCCCCUUAUAGCCUCGUGGUCACAGGAAAUCCUGUAUCGCUCAUUAUGAAUGAGUUUGCACUUAGAGCUGGUAGGAAUGAAAAUGUUUUGUCUCUGUUGCUCCUGCUUGUGCACCUGCGUUGCAUAAACGCAUGCUUGUAAACGCAUGAUGCAAUCACACCUCAUUAUGUAAUAACAAAAUGAAACAAGUUUACAUACCAUAAUGUGUGUUACACAUGUGUUACACACCACAGAUUAGUAUUAAUUUCUGAGAUUUCAAAUAUUAUUGAAGCAUCUGUGCUGGUCAGAUGGUGUGACCGGGUGGGAGAUGAUGUGUGUGGCUGAGCACCGGUGAAAUAAUCAGGCAUGGAAAUGCUCACCUGGUCAGGAGGCACAUUCAGGGGCAGCAAGAACACAUUCAAGACUUUAUCUAUGGGCCGGAGCA